ACUGCUUCUUGGCCUUUUGGCUAAGGUCAAGUGUAGUAUCUGUUCACAUCAGUUUAAUAUAGGUGUUGAACAACAGUGGGAGAAAAAAUAAAAUUCCUCUUUUAUUAUACUUGAAGCGAAAUACAU
Molecule: small nuclear RNA, 126 nt
Organism: Callithrix jacchus (white-tufted-ear marmoset)
Lineage: Eukaryota; Metazoa; Chordata; Mammalia; Primates; Cebidae
Gene: U2
Rfam family: U2 spliceosomal RNA
About the family: U2 is a small nuclear RNA (snRNA) component of the spliceosome (involved in pre-mRNA splicing). Complementary binding between U2 snRNA (in an area lying towards the 5' end but 3' to hairpin I) and the branchpoint sequence (BPS) of the intron results the bulging out of an unpaired adenosine, on the BPS, which initiates a nucleophilic attack at the intronic 5' splice site, thus starting the first of two transesterification reactions that mediate splicing.
Source: Ensembl